This is a long non-coding RNA of Chionomys nivalis (European snow vole), 403 nucleotides long. RefSeq lists it as uncharacterized. The transcript is spliced from 3 exons. NCBI's taxonomy places the organism in Eukaryota, Metazoa, Chordata, Mammalia, Rodentia, Cricetidae. The record is from RefSeq and is a predicted model, not a curated record.
CAACCUUCCAACAUUCCGGGCCCUCGCUCACCCUGCUGACCUACCAAGGGUUCUGCUCGCUCCACCCCCAGCAGCUGCAUUCCAGCUGUGGCCCAACGAAACUGCCAGGAAUCCCAGGGCUGCGAGGUUACCGAUAAUGCAAGUUUGGAAAGUGAAACAGGAAGAACGCAGGCUGAGAAAGCUUUUAUCCAGCCGCAGAGUCUUUCCAGAUGCAAGAUAGGAACCUGUCCUCUAUCUUUGUUGCCCAAACUGAUGUCAUGCUCUAAGGGACUGACUGGAUUUGCUAAACUGCUACAAGACGCCUUCAAAACCCCGGACUGCCUGCAGUGUGGGGCGGGGACCUGAGAAUCAAGGCAAGGAGAGGCAACUACUCUCCCUAAGAUGGAGGCUACAUGAUGUAAGU